AUGAACACAUCCACUUGGGACAUGAGUUCUUCGUCAUCUUCAUCUGGCGACGAUGAACUCAUACUUGCAGCAUUCGCCGAGCGGGAGGAGGAAGAGAGGAAGAACGGUCGACGCCAUGGCGGUUCCAAGCAUGGACGUCAGUCAAUCGAUCGAGGAAGAGAUGCCGGAUUUCUUCUUCUGUGGGACGACUAUUUCAAAGAAGUUCCUCGCUUUCCUGAACAUUUGUUUCGACGAAGAUUUAGGAUGUCGCGUACUUUGUUCAACCGCAUAGCUGAUGGUAUACUUGAGCAUGACUAUGAUGAUUAUUUUACGCAAAAAAGAAGUGCUUCUGGAGCUCUUGGGUUACAUCCUUUGCAAAAGAUGACCGCGGCGAUGCGGAUACUAACAUAUGGAAUAGCAGCCGAUUAUGUUGAUGAGUACAUCCGGUCCGCUGAGUCUACUAAUUUAGAGUCUUGCAAGAAAUUUGUGAUCAAAAUUUGUGAAGUUUUUGGGGAAAAGUACCUGAGAUCUCCAAAUGAAGAAGACAUUGCUAGGUUACUUGCAAUAGGGGAGGAAAGAGGAUUUCCCGGUAUGUUAGGGAGCAUAGAUUGCAUGCACUGGGGGUGGAAAAAUUGCCCCCAAAAAUGGCAUGGCAUGUUUAAAGGCCAUGUGAGCGAGCCCACUAUGAUCUUGGAAGCAGUUGCUUCACAAGAUCUUUGGAUUUGGCAUGCUUAUUUUGGUUUACCAGGGUCUCUGAAUGAUAUAAAUGUUCUUCAACGUUCUCCUGUUUUUACAAAGCUAGCCGAAGGCCAAACUCCUCCAGUGAAUUAUAGCAUCAAUGGCCAUCAGUACACAAUGGGGUAUUACCUUGCAGAUGGUAUCUAUCCACGGUGGGCAACAUUUGUGAAGAGCAUACCAGCUCCAACUAGCAGAAAGCAUAAAACUUUUGCCAAGAAGCAAGAGGGGGCUAGGAAAGAUGUGGAACGAGCCUUUGGAGUUCUGCAAUCCCGUUUUGCCGUUGUUCGUGGACCUGCUAAAGGAUGGAAACGUAAAGAAAUCACUGAUGUCAUGAAAGCUUGUGUCAUAAUGCACAAUAUGAUAGUUGAAGAGGUGCGGCAAACUGGUCGGCAAAGCUGCACUUUUGAGGCAAUGGGAGAAAGAGUCACAGUCUCUCGUACUCAUGCGGAAGAACUGAGCUCUUUUAUUCAGAUGACUAAUCGGAUUAGAAAUUUCGAUGAACAUGAUCAGCUUAAACUUGAUCUAAUUGACUAUGUCUGGCAAAAGUUUGGAAACGAGUGA
This 1278-nucleotide ribosomal RNA is filed under the name Triticum aestivum (bread wheat). RNAcentral's name for it is "partial small subunit ribosomal RNA". The record is from RNAcentral. Lineage: Eukaryota; Viridiplantae; Streptophyta; Magnoliopsida; Poales; Poaceae.